AUGACAGCGGCUUACGGCUGGGGCUUCUGCGCCUCCAGACUGAAAUGGGAGAUCCCGAGUGGGCCAAGGGUGUCUGCCUGUCAAGCCUUUAACAAGUAACUCAAGCAGGGAGCUGUGUGGUUAGCCGAGGGGAGCGGAAACGUCUUGUGUUCCAGUCACCUACGCGGAACGAGUCCCGCCCCCGCGCAGAUAUGAAAACUGAAGUAUUGAGAUCAAGAAAUAUGUCAAACAGCUGCUAAACACCAGGAUCCUUGGAAGCCAUAUGCUGUAUUAGACCAGAAUGUGGCCGAGGUGAUGUUCUGUGACUUCCAAAGCCAGAUCUUAAGAGACACUGCAGCUUCUGCUUUUACCUUUUUAUGAUGCUGCCUUGAGACCGUCAUGUAAGGAAGCCAGUCUAGCCUGCUAGAGAAUAAUGGUCACAUGGGAAAGAACCAGAGCUCCCAAAGGACAUGUGAGUGAGGCCACCUUGACCUUCCAGCCCAACCGUCUUUCAGCUGAAUGUUUCUGUACCAGUGAGCCCAGGUAAAACCAGCAGAUAAACUGUCAACUCAUCCAGAGAAUCAUUUUAAAAUCAUAAUAAAUCA
Hippopotamus amphibius kiboko is the source of this 584-nucleotide long non-coding RNA. RefSeq lists it as uncharacterized. The transcript has 3 exons. Lineage: Eukaryota; Metazoa; Chordata; Mammalia; Artiodactyla; Hippopotamidae. The record is from RefSeq and is a predicted model, not a curated record.